RNAcentral lists this long non-coding RNA (1278 nucleotides) under Monodelphis domestica (gray short-tailed opossum). RNAcentral describes it as "lncRNA (ENSMODG00000045942.1)". Lineage: Eukaryota; Metazoa; Chordata; Mammalia; Didelphimorphia; Didelphidae. The record is from RNAcentral.
UUUCGAACAAUCAAAUCACUCUUUCUCUUCUGAUAAAUGUAUCAGGACUAAAUGGUUGAGAUGUGUUUAAACUGAUAAAUGCUUUCAACCCUCCCCUUACAUAUACUAGAAAUGAAAUGCUUUGAAAAGUACAAAUGACUUUGGAGCACAAAAAAUCUUCUUAUAGGCUUUGCAUUUUUCUUAUUUGGGAUUCAUGGACUAGAGAUAGCUCCCUCCUUCCUGCUAUUUCAUGGCCCCUCACUCUGCCACCUGUAGCGGGUAGCUUAAGGGAUGUGAGAGGACAUUUUUAGCCCAUUUGCACAUUUGUGGCGCACUCCCAGAAUUGUCAAAAAGAAAUUCUGAGAAGUCUGAGCGUACAUCCCGUACAAAAAGAGCAUCCAUGAAUUAGACCAUCAAAAGUCAAAAGUGUAAUUUGAAAUGAUAAACGCAUCCAUUUUAAGUUACACAUUACUUUGCAUAGUUAAUAUCACUGUAAUUAGUCAUAGUUCCCAUAAUUUAUUGAAAAAGAUGCUCAUCCCCUCCAGUGUACCACAGUGAUGAAUGUUGCAAGUGUAACUUUGGAAGCUGGAAUCAAGAAAAUUAGUAACAGUUGGAGAAUUAGCAUGUAAAUCAAUACUAUCCUUUGCUCUGCACUUGCAAACCCAGACCAGCAUCCUGCGUGGUCUCACCUAAGGGAUCCCCCAGGCCAGAUCUGGAAGAUCUACCACACAGAGCUGGGCAGGUUGCUGCUUUUUUUUUUUUAAACUGUAGGAAAUGUUUAAAACCCUCUCAAACAUUUGAGUAAAUCUCUAGUAAAUAUUUAAACUCUGCAUAACUAGUCACAAAUAAAUUAAGCUGAUUUUAUGCAGUCACUCUAAUUAGAAGGGCACAGCAUUUGUUGAAACGUGAUUAGUAUUAUUCAUUAAGCAAAAAAUUCUCAUUUGUAUCUUAUUAUCACUAUUCUGCAUAAACCAACACAAUUUGUCAUGAACUCCCUCAUUUGCUGUAUCCUCAAAAAGAAGAUUAUGCUUAUUUUUCAUUUGGACAGUGGAAAAUCAAGCCAGGUGUUUGGCAGCACCGGGGUGUUCAGGUGUAACUUUGCCAGUGAUGGUACAUUACUAGCAGCGUGGAUGAAGGAUGAGGCAUGGAGAAUCUUGGGACUGAGGUGCCUUGAGGCCCAUCCCUUCAGAGUGGCCCUGCUGAUGAGACAGAAAUUGUAAAAAGGCUCGCCUGUAUUCCUGCUGCGUCUGGGCUCCUGGCAUGUGUAGUUGGAGAUGCCGCCGCCGCCACCGCCACCUC